This 1460-nucleotide long non-coding RNA is filed under the name Mus musculus (house mouse). RNAcentral describes it as "Pvt1 oncogene". The stretch from base 37 to 193 matches the Rfam family "Pvt1 oncogene conserved region 1". The record is from RNAcentral. Lineage: Eukaryota; Metazoa; Chordata; Mammalia; Rodentia; Muridae.
AGCCCCGCGCUCUACCAGGCAGAGCGCGUGUGGCCGCCGAGCACAUGGACCCACUGGUCAAGCGGGCUCGGCAAGGCCAGGAUGAAGAGAAGCUACGAACUUAGCAUUCCCAGAGCCCCCCGAGUGGAUAUCCGCGUGGAAAGGAUGUUGGCAGCCCCGGUGACCUCGGAGUCACGGCUGGAUCCACCCUCUUGUCUGAUUUUCUUAACUCUACUACGGUAAGAAGAUGCCCUCCAUCAGCAGGCCGUGUCUGCUGGGACCUCUCUGGAGACUUCCUGAACCCUGUGGAUUUACAGUAAGAUGCAGUUUCCUGGGGAGUAAUUCUGGUGGAUACAAAUUCCGGAGUAUUACACCUGGCUUGCCUGGAGAUGUUACAAGUAGCUGGAUGGAUUCUUCAGCCUGGAUGCCCACUGAAAACAAGGACCGAAACUAAGAGGAUUGUAUCUCUACCCUUGACUCAAUGAGAAUGUUUGUUGUCAUCUCUCGGGCUACCUGGAGCUCCCUCUAAAAUUAUACCCUUUAAGCGUUCCAGAAGGAUUUUGAGAUCCUUUCCUAAAUCAAAGGUGGAAUAUUUGGGGAUUUGGAAAAUUGAGCCAGUCUCUCAGAAGAACCAGUUGUGUUACUUUGCUGUGAGAUGCCUGCCCUAAGAGAGGAGCAGAAGGUCGGAACGGGUCCUCUAAUGUGAUAAUUAGAUGUGAAGCGUUGACUUAAGAGAUGCCAAGUAACUCAGCAGAUGUCACACAGACGAUAAAUAGCAAAGAUGGAAGUCUUCAUGCCGGAGGCAAUCCUAUAAGACAGCUGAGUUCUGCAGAGCUGGUAGGAGACAGACUUGCUCAGGUGAUAGAUCCAGCCAUGAUACUGACCCUAAGAGAAUGAGACGCUCUGCAGAAGACAGAAGAUUCCUGAAACUGGGAAAGGUGCCUAGAAAUCCUGAUAAGAGUGAAGAAGGAGCUGGCAGAGCAGCCUUCCUCCGCACUAUGAAAGACAUCCAACAGAGAGCAAGUUCCCACCUCACUUCCAGCUUGACUCCUUUUUAUCUCCUAACUGUGGUCUGUGAUGUCUUCAGCAAUGGUAUUAACUAGUUCUGGGUACCUGGAGGCACAGCAGCCAUGUUGAACCUAUGAGGUGAUGAAAAACCAUGCAACUAGAAACCAGAAUGGAAGAAAAGAAGAAGCUGGAUCCUUGACUGAAUUGUCGAUGGGGGAUAGUCCAUCAUCCCAGGGCUAAGACCACCUCCAGAUUUCUUGUUUGGUGAAACAAGUCCUGAUUGUUUACAUUCCCUCGUGUUGAGCUGUCUCUUGCUUGUAGCUGAAAGCAUUUCUAAUAGAUAUUCAGAUUAUCAGCCUUAGCUCCAAGCUAGAAUACUCUAUGGGACCUUAGCUUCUCCAUGAAUUCCUUUGCUCAUCUGUGUAAUGCUCAAUAAAUGUAAAUUGAACCCUGAAUGAGGGACAAUGACACUA